AGCGAACGCUGGCGGCAGGCUUAACACAUGCAAGUCGAGCGGGCAUCUUCGGAUGUCAGCGGCAGACGGGUGAGUAACACGUGGGAACGUACCCUUCGGUUCGGAACAACUCUGGGAAACUGGAGCUAAUACCGGAUACGCCCUUAUGGGGAAAGGUUUACUGCCGAAGGAUCGGCCCGCGUCUGAUUAGCUAGUUGGUGGGGUAACGGCCUACCAAGGCGACGAUCAGUAGCUGGUCUGAGAGGAUGAUCAGCCACACUGGGACUGAGACACGGCCCAGACUCCUACGGGAGGCAGCAGUGGGGAAUAUGGGACAAUGGGCGCAAGCCUGAUCCAGCCAUGCCGCGUGAGUGAUGAAGGCCUUAGGGUUGUAAAGCUCUUUUGUCCGGGACGAUAAUGACGGUACCGGAAGAAUAAGCCCCGGCUAACUUCGU
RNAcentral lists this ribosomal RNA (434 nucleotides) under uncultured bacterium. RNAcentral's name for it is "partial 16S ribosomal RNA". It matches the Rfam family "Bacterial small subunit ribosomal RNA", at positions 29 to 506 of the family's 1533-position model. The record is from RNAcentral.